Molecule: ribosomal RNA, 263 nt
Filed under: uncultured bacterium
Lineage: Bacteria
Description: partial 16S ribosomal RNA
Rfam family: Bacterial small subunit ribosomal RNA
Source: RNAcentral
UUAGUGGCGGACGGGUGAGUAACGCGUGGGUAACCGUGCCUCACACAGGGGGAGUAACAGUUGGAACGACCGCUAAUACCGCAUAACCCGCUGGUAUCGCAUGAUACUGACGGAAAGAUUUUAUCGGUGUGAGAUGGACCCGCGUCUGAUUAGCCAGUUGGCAGGGUAACGGCCUACCAAAGCGACGAUCAGUAGCCGGCCUGAGAGGGUGAACGGCCACAUUGGGACUGAGACACGGCCCAAACUCCUACGGAAGGCAGCAG